AUUAAAAUUGGAAACUGUGAAAAAUUCUCUUUAUUUGGGCACCUGGGGAAUUUGGAGUUAGUGGUGCAACCGGCCAAUAAUGAG
Regulatory RNA element from Clostridium sp. Maddingley MBC34-26, 84 nucleotides. It matches the Rfam family "Cyclic di-GMP-II riboswitch aptamer". The record is from Rfam. NCBI's taxonomy places the organism in Bacteria, Bacillati, Bacillota, Clostridia, Eubacteriales, Clostridiaceae.